UACGGAGGGUGCAAGCGUUAUCCGGAUUCACUGGGUUUAAAGGGUGCGUAGGUGGGUUGGUAAGUCAGUGGUGAAAUCUCCGAGCUUAACUUGGAAACUGCCAUUGAUACUAUCAGUCUUGAAUAUUGUGGAGGUCAGCGGAAUAUGUCAUGUAGCGGUGAAAUGCUUAGAUAUGACAUAGAACACCAAUUGCGAAGGCAGCUGGCUACACAUAUAUUGACACUGAGGCCCGAAAGCGUGGGGAUCAAACAGG
This 253-nucleotide ribosomal RNA is filed under the name uncultured bacterium. RNAcentral describes it as "partial 16S ribosomal RNA". It matches the Rfam family "Bacterial small subunit ribosomal RNA", at positions 524 to 776 of the family's 1533-position model. The record is from RNAcentral.